AUGCUAACCAAGCUAGAAGAGGAAAGAUGUGAAGAUUGGUCACCUGUGCAAAGGAAACGACAAGGGCUCAAGGGGAAGUGGGAAAGAUGCAUUUUUGAAGAACUGGGUAUUACAUGUAAAAUCAAAGGUUUCAUCUCCCCUGGCUGCUGGCCUCACCCCGAUUUCUGGGCAUUGGGAUCUGGUAACCGUGAGUUCCUGCUGCUCCUGCUCCUGCAGCCGUCUGUGUCACGCCUGGCAGCCAUCUUAGGCUGGGCAGAAAGCCCACCAGGGCUAGCACAGCAAAUCGGCUGGUAAGUGAGCAGACAGAAAGAUUAUGCUAGGAAAACAUCAAGGGUAAAUAUUUAAGUUGUACAAAGCAAAUAGCUCAUAAUACGCUAAACAGUUCUGCUUUCCUUAUGGAGUUUAUUUUAUAUAUUAAAAAAAAAAAGUAUCUCCUUAAAUUUUUAUUUGCUGAAGAAUACAAGUGCAACAUACAAAGUAGCUGAUGAUUAGCCCUGGUUUAAUUUCUCUUUUUGUGGAAGCUUUGAGAAAUGCUGAGUGUUUUCAUCAGUCUCAUGAAUACUAACUUAUAUAGUUUUUUAGCAUUUGGAGUAUUAUAUAAGCAAAACUCAGAAAUAAAUGCUAUAGAAAAGUAAAAUAUAUGGCA
This 646-nucleotide long non-coding RNA is filed under the name Anser brachyrhynchus (Pink-footed goose). RNAcentral describes it as "lncRNA (ENSABRG00000006334.1)". The record is from RNAcentral. Lineage: Eukaryota; Metazoa; Chordata; Aves; Anseriformes; Anatidae.